This is a long non-coding RNA of Calypte anna (Anna's hummingbird), 239 nucleotides long. RefSeq lists it as uncharacterized. The record is from RefSeq and is a predicted model, not a curated record. The transcript has 3 exons. Lineage: Eukaryota; Metazoa; Chordata; Aves; Apodiformes; Trochilidae.
GGUUACCCCAGUUAAUGGACAGGAAGGGGAAAAGUUCAAUCAGAAAGAGAAACCUAGGUGAAGCAAGACACAGCUGUAAGGUUAAUGUCUCCUUUUGUCCUUCCAUCUGUAACACAGGAGAGGGAAUGUGUGACACCUCCCAUAUGUGUAAAAGCAUCCCUGAAGAAGACAAGUGGUGAGGCAGCACUGAGGGCUUCUCUGAUUUCUGUGCUGAGAACACAGGAUGCAGCAACUGACAC